AACUUUCAUUGCUGCCUUGUACUGUCACUGUAGACGGGCACGGUAGGUGGAACUAAAACUAUUAGCACCCUAUGAAAUACGUGAACUUGUACGACCACUACUGUGGCCGCUGCGCCUUGCCGUGAAGAGCGCCACCAGAAGUGGACACAACUCUCCGAACACUUGCAGAGCUUCUGCUUGGAUUUUCUCCCCCUCCCCCACAGCACACACACACACACACACACAUCCACACACACUGUUGCUAACGGAUCGUGCUUAUUUCCAAUGUCUGCGGUGAGCGCCCGUCCGAGCCCAUACCGGGAUUGUCUUGGCAGUGUUGUUGUGGAUGAGAACAGCAAUGCGGAGGGACAGCUGUGCAGCAUGGUCGACGCGAUCAUUGCAACGUCUACCCACGCGCUCCAGAAGGCCUCUAGCGACGUGAACAGCACCGACGCCGCGUUUUUGAAGGCGGCGUCGCUUUUCCAGGCCAAUGGAAUCCGCAUUUCUCAUGGCGAGCUCGGUGAGAAUACUUCCAGCGCUGCAAGCCCUGCCGCUGUCGAGUCCGACCUGCGCACCCAGCUGGAGAACUGCCGCAACCUCCUCCGCACGGUCGACUGUGAGCGCCGCCGUUUGCGCAGUCAGUGCAUCUACCUCCAGAAAGAGCAUGAGCUUCGACGUGCAGAGAUCCAGUCGAUGCACCGCUACUCUACCGAAUCGCAUCAGCGCUCGCUGACGCUAGAGCGCCAGAUUGCAGAGGAGCGCCAACACCGUAGGCGGCUGCAGAACGAGGUGGAUGCUCAAACGCAGGAGGUCAUGCGCCUUCGCCGUGUUCUCCGAGCCCUGCCAGACAACGUCUUGAGGUCCCUGAGUCCGCGUCAUCCUGCCGACGGCGCUGCGGCGGACCUUGUGCUGACGCUGGCACCGGACCGGCGCUUUGAGGAGGCCUUUCGGGACAAAAUGAACAGCAUCGCGUACAAGCGACGCUAUCACCAAGCAAGCGCAAUGCAUCAGGCUGCCCGCGAGCAGGUGGAGAUGAUGAUGAUGGAGCAGCAAGAUCCCUUGCAGAUUGCGGCGAGGUGGCCCUGCGUCGUUGAGGGCGUGUCCACCGUGGGCGCAACGUCGACGGAGCCAGUCGUGAAGAGGGAAUGGCAGGGCUGCGGCAGUGGCGCCUCCAGCCUGUUCAAAUUUCCGCCUCAAGGGAUUGAUGAAUUGUGGCAGGCCGACGCGAUAAAUGCCACUGAAGCUGCGACGCUUGCGAACAGCGCACUCAUGCACUCAGCGCUGGAAUUUCCUUUCCAGCUACCCUUCACGACGGCCACCCCGAAAGACGCGUACAUUAAAUUUCUCAUGUAUCACUCCGCGUACGCGGAGCCGCUUACCCAGCUGCGCGAGCAUGUGCUGAGGCUGAGCUCGCGCCUCAAGACAGCGCAGGACGCCGGGCUGCGCGCGCUAUACACCACGUUUACUCAGGUGCUGCAUCUCCUCGGAUCCGCCCCUGCACGGGCACCGUGGCGCUCUCUCUACGAGCGCGAGAUCGAGAAAAUGCAACGCGCGCACCGCGACCUGCUGUACGCUGUGAUCGAACAGGCGAACAUGGCAGCCACGCAGAUACCGGAGCUUGAGCGCGCUGGCGGUGCGGCUACGGCGCUGCGCGAGCUUGCCGGUGGCGCUCCGCAGCGCCGGGACGUGGGCUGCAGCGCGCACGAACUGACCACGAUGGAAAAGUACAGGGCUUCCCAGCUUAAGGAGCAGCUGGAUCACCUCAAACUGCACUCGCUCGAGGCGGAGGCCGCGGCACAGAAGGAAAAAGAGGAGAUCGCCAAGCAGCGCUCCACUGCGCGUCAAGGCACCUUGCAGGCUCUGCAGUCCCUCAAGGCGCUCGCCAAGUGCGUUGUGGGGUCGGUGCGGGCUCACGGUGCCGCCGACGGUGCCGUGUAUGACCCCUUCGCUCAACUGUUCGAUCCCCUCACCGAGGAGGUGCUGGACGACCCGCGCCUCGCUACCAAGACGGCAGAGGCAACGGACUUGACCCUAUCGUACGUGCGCAUGCUCGGCCGCAGCGGUGGCGGUGGCGGGCGAGGUAAAAGCGCACAGCGCCACCACGCGGACCUCGGGGCCGCACCUCUUUCGUCUUCGCCAACGUCGGGAACGGACGGCGUGCGAGAAGGCGCGCUCGCGAGCGUCAUUGGCAUUAGCCGCACCGCCUGUGGUGCCACCGCACCGUCGUGUUCUUCAAAGGCUCAUUCUUCUCGGAGGCAAUCGGCACCGCCAGCGGUGCCAGCGCUGCGCCACCGCACUCGCAGCAGCUCCUUGGGCUACUCAAGCCGUCGGCUCAGCUCGCCACAAUUGCCACCCAUGAAAAGCAUCCCAGCCUUGUCGAGGGGGGCGACAGGCUUUCGCAAGCGCCGGAGCAGCGGCGCGGCUUCAUCAACACACUCUCCUCGAGAAGGCGAUCUUUCCUCGACAAAAGCGUUGGCCGCGCCCUCUCUUCAGAACACGGUGAACUCACCGAAUGCCUGCGCCAAGGAGAGCGGCCCUAAGCCUCAGGCGACUGUCGCCGUCAUCGAGCUCGGCUUCCGUGAAGGCGAUGCUCAGCGGUAGCGAUGGAAGGGGCAUAAGACAUGCUGCCGCGCGAAGCUGCACUUAUGGGGAUGUGCGUAUCCGAGACAUCUAGAAUAAUCCUCUCUCCAUGCUUUCUCCUGACGGCACUAGAUCAUCUUUUUUUUUGUCUUUCUGACGUCACGUUUGCAACUCUUCACACCUGUUCCCUUUUUUUUCCGCCGAUGCUCUUGAGCAUUGCAUUGGACGGAAAGGGAUGUGCGUGACUGUCUGUGUGUGCGCGAGUGUCUACAUAGGGGCCCUCUUUUUCUCUUUUUCUGUCCCACUUGCCCUCUCUCUUGCCCCCCUUCUCCUCCUCCCAGGGGGCUCUCUCCGACACACACACACACACACACACACGCAGAGACAUGCUACAGGCGUACAGGUUUACCCUGCGUUGUUUUUCUCUUUGUGUCUCCACUCUUUUGCUGUUUUUCGUGGUCGCCGCCCACUUACUCUCCCUCUGUGGUGCUUUUCUUUUUCUUUCGCUCUUGCGUUGCCUGCCUGCUCUUCACGUCCUCUCUGCCAAGCCACGUAUGCGCCCCUCCUCACGCAUUCUCUCUCGUCUUCUACGCGCACAUUCGACGAGGACACAGAAGGGGCGGAUUCAGGUGACUGCCUCGACGCUUGCGGGCCUAUGCACAGCUGUAUGUGUGUGUGUGUGUGUUUGGCUCUUCGAGUCUCUCCGCGUCCUGCGCUCUCUCUCUGCUCGGUCUUUUUCCUUUUAUAGCCUUCUCUCUCUCCCAUUCACUUUUGUACUGUCUUCUUUACAUCCUGACGCGCUCCGUCGGGCAUCGCCUUUGAGCUGUGCGGGCUUUGAUUUCUCUUCUUCCUUUUGCUUGCUGGUACGCUAUCUGACUUCGUUUGACCCCUCUGCUGUUUCAUCUCUGCCUGUGCCUGUGGGGCUCCACAUGUCACUUCGUUAGUGCGCGAUGCGCACAUGCCCGCAACGGGAACAAAGGAGAUGCACACGCGGAGUGCACCGCCGGAGAGCGACAGGGGCAAAAACAAAAAAAAGUGGCGUUGGACAGCUGAGGAGGAGGAUGAUUCAUUUUCAAAGGUAGUGAUGGGAGAGCUGCACUGAGGGUGCAAGGAGUCUUCUCUGCUUACUUUCCUUCACACCCGCUAUUUUACUUUGACUAG
Molecule: unclassified non-coding RNA, 3720 nt
Filed under: Leishmania donovani
Lineage: Eukaryota; Euglenozoa; Kinetoplastea; Trypanosomatida; Trypanosomatidae
Description: gene:LdHU3.30.1110(CDS-product:hypothetical_prote in_conserved)
Source: RNAcentral